RNAcentral lists this ribosomal RNA (254 nucleotides) under uncultured bacterium. RNAcentral describes it as "partial 16S ribosomal RNA". It matches the Rfam family "Bacterial small subunit ribosomal RNA", at positions 8 to 253 of the family's 1533-position model. The record is from RNAcentral.
AGAGUUUGAUCCUGGCUCAGGAUAAACGCUAGCGGCAGGCCUAACACAUGCAAGUCGAGGGGCAUCGGAUAGAGUACUUCGGUACUCUUGCUGGCGACCGGCGGACGGGUGCGUAACGCGUAUGCAACCUACCUUCAACAGGGGGAUAAUCCGAAGAAAUUUGGUCUAAUACCCCAUAAUAUUCCGACAGGCAUCUGUCGGAGUUGAAAGCUUCGGUGGUUGGAGAUGGGCAUGCGUUGUAUUAGCUAGAUGGG